Molecule: transfer RNA, 74 nt
Filed under: Pelecanus crispus (Dalmatian pelican)
Lineage: Eukaryota; Metazoa; Chordata; Aves; Pelecaniformes; Pelecanidae
Rfam family: tRNA
About the family: Transfer RNA (tRNA) molecules are approximately 80 nucleotides in length. Their secondary structure includes four short double-helical elements and three loops (D, anti-codon, and T loops).
Source: Rfam by way of RNAcentral
GGCGCUGAGGCUCAGUUGGUUAAAGCAUCUGCCUUAGAAGCGGGGGAUCCUGGAGACAACUCUCAGCAGUGCCU